RNAcentral lists this unclassified non-coding RNA (110 nucleotides) under uncultured Ascomycota. RNAcentral describes it as "sequence contains ITS2". The record is from RNAcentral. Lineage: Eukaryota; Fungi; Ascomycota.
AACAAUGCAAACAAUGGUUUGCGACCUGGCACCGUCGCUCAGACUCUGCUUAAACGGAAGCUGUUUGCCUGGGUGCUAGGCAUUCUCAGGCAGGCGACAUGUGCAUAUAC